CACCGAGUGCUCGCAGCCAAUCCGAAAGCGACUUGCGGGAACGCGGAAACCAUUGACCAAUCGGAGGAGCGUGCGUGCGCUGAGACGUCGUAGGCCACGCCCACAUAGCAUCUGCACCGCAGCCUCUUUCUAGGCUCACAGAAUCCUGUACCACACUGGAUUUGACGUUUUUUUUUUAAUGCCCUCCAUUUAUUUAUUUUUUUAGAAUUCCUGCUCGAUUAUCCAAGGUCUUGUUUUCUUCGUUUGAGGCGACUCGUUCACAGGGUGUACCUAAUGAUGCGGCCAGUGAGUGUGAACAAAUACCAUGAAGUGAACCAUUUACAAUGCAGUCCACUCUGCUGCUUGGCUUCUCUCUCAAUGAGCAUCUUGAGAUUUUGAAAAAGUGACAAACGGCUCCAGAGAAGAGGAAAGGAGAAGAUGCAACCAAAAGGCCACCUCUGAUUGGAAGCUCUGGCUCAUCUGAAAAUGGGCCUGCUCAAACUGUGACAUCAACCUUUUGCAGCGUGCUGACAAAGAGUCAGGCUGGCUGCGGGAAAUUUCCCCUUCUGCACCACUGACCCAAAUGAAAGCAAAGUGCCCAUUCCGGACCAGCGCUAUGAUUUCCUCUGUCAAGUCCACAAACCAGCCAGGUGCAUUUGACGAUGAGGAUAUCAUCUAUGAUGAGGCGAGCGGGGACCCCAUGAGGGACAUGGAGAUCAUCCACAAGAAGCUGAGGCUGAAGUACAAGGAUGAUGAUCUUCCCUAUUAUUGACAAGCUGGAGAAGACGGCAAUUAGGAACGGCGACAAGAAACUCAAACCAGAAUACGUAUUCAGACAGACGAGAGGCCAUCAGCAUUGGACAACUUAAAUUUGGAAGUUUUUCUAAGUGCGUGCGUUGCUCUUGGAUGCUGCAAUGGAAUUCAGAGGCUGAUGAAGGAUUAUUUGGAAGUUCACGACCCGACGUGUUGGUCAUCCCUUUCAAUGGCGAGCGGAGUCAAGAGGAGAUGCACAAGUUCGUCUGGCAGCACAAGAGAAAGGAACUAAGGCUCCACAGGCUGCAAGAGAAGAUCCACAGCGACUCGGUGAAGGGCUUCAGUGUGGCGCUAGUAAUGAAAUUCCAGGAUUUUAAAGAGGAAGGCAGCCAGAGCGCUGUCAAGGCAGACAACUGUUGAAGAUGAUGACAUCAUCCUUUUUCAAAUUCACUUUGCAGAGGCCGGGCUGACAAACGCCACUCACUGGCUUUCUCCUUUCCGUCCGGUAAGAUCAAUUCCCUCUCUGUGCCGAGACGCGGGUUCGCUAAACUCUGACAGCUUUGCUAUUUAAGAUGGGGAUCAGCCCCCUACUCCAAAUUGUAAGGAGCAUAUUACUCUCCAGAUACUUCAUUAAUCUCCAUCACGGCUGCUGGCGCUGUCACAGCUGACAGUGGCGACAAUACCACCUGCUUCUCUCCCCACUUGUGCAGAUAAUGCAUGUUUUUACAGUAGGCCAGAUGUCUACACUCAAUAAAACAUUUGACAAAACCAA
Molecule: RNA transcript, 1504 nt
Organism: Syngnathus acus (greater pipefish)
Lineage: Eukaryota; Metazoa; Chordata; Actinopteri; Syngnathiformes; Syngnathidae
Gene name: obg-like ATPase 1
Exons: 9
Source: RefSeq, a predicted model, not a curated record